UAAACCCUCCUUCGGCCCCAGACAACCUCCCCCUUAUGAUCAGACUGGUCUGCCACCUGGUGGUAUUCUGUCCGUACUGCAUCUCCACUUUCAUCAUGGUGUGUCUAUAUCGACGCUGGGCCACAGGAAACGGCCUACCUGUUGCCAUGGUGAUGACCUCACCCACCCAGGCUGAGGAGGGAUUGGAUGAUGAAUAUGAGAAUGACAUCACCGCUGUCACCAGAGAGCAUCACUUCUGAACUGAUCUGAAGAGAAGCUGAAAUCUCCGUAGAUCAGAAACAGUUCCCCCGGCCGUCUUGAUAUAAUUAUGAUUUAAACAUAUUCAAUAUGAAAUCAAUGCUUUAAGUUUGAAUUGCUCCUUUACUGCCAGCCACAGCUAUCUCUGUAAUCCUGAAUAUUUUAUGUUAUAACAAUAAAGCUUUUUUUUUCGUAGUUUUUCAUGAAA
Long non-coding RNA from Sander lucioperca (pikeperch), 445 nucleotides. RefSeq lists it as uncharacterized. The record is from RefSeq and is a predicted model, not a curated record. The transcript is spliced from 2 exons. Lineage: Eukaryota; Metazoa; Chordata; Actinopteri; Perciformes; Percidae.